GAUGAACGCUGGCGGCGUGCCUAAUACAUGCAAGUCGAGCGAACAGACGAGGAGCUUGCUCCUUUGACGUUAGCGGCGGACGGGUGAGUAACACGUAGGUAACCUACCUAUAAGACUGGGAUAACUUCGGGAAACCGGAACUAAUAACGGGUAAUUUUUCCGACCGCAUGGUUCGGUAAUGAAAUAUUGGUUUUGUAUGCCUUCUUGGUUGACCUGCGCCGUAUUAGCUAGUUGGUAAGGUAACGGCUUACCAAGGCAACGAUACGUAGCCGACCUGAGAGGGUGAUCGGCCACACUGGAACUGAGACACGGUCCAGACUCCUACGGGAGGCAGCAGUAGGGAAUCUUCCGCAAUGGGCGAAAGCCUGACGGAGCAACGCCGCGUGAGUGAUGAAGGUCUUCGGAUCGUAAAACUCUGUUAUUAGGGAAGAACAAACGUGUAAGUAACUGUGCACGUCUUGACGGUACCUAAUCAGAAAGCCACGGCUAACUACGUG
RNAcentral lists this ribosomal RNA (497 nucleotides) under uncultured bacterium. RNAcentral describes it as "partial 16S ribosomal RNA". It matches the Rfam family "Bacterial small subunit ribosomal RNA", at positions 28 to 507 of the family's 1533-position model. The record is from RNAcentral.